Molecule: ribosomal RNA, 1250 nt
Filed under: Providencia rettgeri
Lineage: Bacteria; Pseudomonadati; Pseudomonadota; Gammaproteobacteria; Enterobacterales; Morganellaceae
Description: bacterial LSU rRNA
Rfam family: Bacterial large subunit ribosomal RNA
Source: RNAcentral
AGAACUCGGGUGAAGGAACUAGGCAAAAUGGUGCCGUAACUUCGGAGAAGGCACGCUGGCAUUAGGUGAAGUGAUUUACUCAUGGAGCUGAAGCCAGUCGCAGAUACCAGCUGGCUGCAACUGUUUAUUAAAACACAGCACUGUGCAAACACGAAAGUGGACGUAUACGGUGUGACGCCUGCCCGGUGCUGGAAGGUUAAUUGAUGGGGUUAUCCGUAAGGAGAAGCUCUUGAUCGAAGCCCCAGUAAACGGCGGCCGUACUAUAACGGUCCUAAGGUAGCGAAAUUCCUUGUCGGGUAAGUUCCGACCUGCACGAAUGGCGUAAUGAUGGCCAGGCUGUCUCCACCCGAGACUCAGUGAAAUUGAACUCGCUGUGAAGAUGCAGUGUACCCGCGGCAAGACGGAAAGACCCCGUGAACCUUUACUAUAGCUUGACACUGAACAUUGAGCCUUGAUGUGUAGGAUAGGUGGGAGGCUUCGAAGCGUGGACGCCAGUCUGCGUGGAGCCAACCUGAAAUACCACCCUUUAAUGUUUGAUGUUCUAACGUUGCCCCAUUAUCUGGGGUGCGGACAGUGUCUGGUGGGUAGUUUGACUGGGGCGGUCUCCUCCCAAAGAGUAACGGAGGAGCACGAAGGUUGGCUAAGCAUGGUCGGACAUCAUGCGGUUAGUGCAAAGGCAUAAGCCAGCUUGACUGCGAGAGUGACGGCUCGAGCAGGUACGAAAGUAGGUCUUAGUGAUCCGGUGGUUCUGAAUGGAAGGGCCAUCGCUCAACGGAUAAAAGGUACUCCGGGGAUAACAGGCUGAUACCGCCCAAGAGUUCAUAUCGACGGCGGUGUUUGGCACCUCGAUGUCGGCUCAUCACAUCCUGGGGCUGAAGUAGGUCCCAAGGGUACGGCUGUUCGCCGUUUAAAGUGGUACGCGAGCUGGGUUUAGAACGUCGUGAGACAGUUCGGUCCCUAUCUGCCGUGGGCGUUGGAAGAUUGAAAGGGGCUGCUCCUAGUACGAGAGGACCGGAGUGGACGCACCACUGGUGUUCGGGUUGUCAUGCCAAUGGCAUUGCCCGGUAGCUAAGUGCGGAAGAGAUAACCGCUGAAAGCAUCUAAGCGGGAAACUUGCCUUGAGAUGAGUCUUCCCUGACUCUUUAAGAGUCCUAAAGGAACGUUUAAGACUAAGACGUUGAUAGGUUGGGUGUGUAAGCGUAGCGAUACGUUGAGCUAACCAAUACUAAUGAACCGUGAGGCUUAACCUG